GGUGCAGUGGGGUGCUAGGGGGUGCUAUAGGGCCCUAUGGGGUGCUAUGGGGGGCUAUGGUGCUAUAGGGUACUAUAGGGUGCAGUGGGGUGCAAAGGGGUGCUAUAGGGGGCUGUGGGUGCAAUGGGGCGCUAUAGGGUGCAGUGGGGUGCGUGGAGUGUGUAGUAUGGGGUGCUAUGGGGUGUAGUAGGGUGCUAUAGGGUGCUUUGGGGUGCUAUUGCACAGAGUGGGGUGCUGUAGGGUGCUAUGGGGUGCAGUAGGGUGCUAUAGAGCUCAGUGGGGUGCUAUAGGGUGUGAUAGGAUAUAACGGGGUGCUGUAGGAUAUAAUGAGGUUCUAUAGGGCGCAAUGGGGUUCUAUAGGGCGCAGUGGGGUGCUAUAGGGUAUAAUGGGGUGCUGUGGGCUAGAGUGGGUUUCUAUAGAGUACAGUGGGGUGCUAUGGGGUACAGUGGGGUUCAAUAGGGCGCAAUGGGGUGCUAUGGAGUGCUAUAGGGUGUAACAGGGUGCUAUAGGGUAUAAGGGGGUGCUAUAG
This is a long non-coding RNA of Cygnus olor (mute swan), 530 nucleotides long. RefSeq lists it as uncharacterized. The transcript has 4 exons. The record is from RefSeq and is a predicted model, not a curated record. NCBI's taxonomy places the organism in Eukaryota, Metazoa, Chordata, Aves, Anseriformes, Anatidae.